UUCCAUCAAUUAUCUUAUUUCACCUUCAUAGCCAGCCUUGGAAGUGGACUUAAGUGGGUCUGUAUGGCAGACAAGGUCCUUGAGGAUUAGAUAACUGGAGUCUCUAGGGUAGGCCUAAGCCACACAGCAAGGCAGGUCCAGGGCUAGGAUUUGAACCCAAGCCUCAGUCCUGAAGGAUGCCCAAGGAACAUAGAUGCUGACACGCCACACUUCUCUUCCUUCCAGGCAAACACGAAGAGAAACAGCAAGAAGGUGGCAUCGUUUCUAAGAACUUCACAAAGAAAAUCCAGCUUCCUGCAGAGGUGGAUCCUGUGACAGUAUUUGCCUCACUUUCCCCAGAGGGUCUGCUGAUCAUCGAAGCUCCCCAGGUCCCUCCUUACUCAACAUUUGGAGAGAGCAGUUUCAACAACGAGCUUCCC
This 419-nucleotide small RNA is filed under the name Pongo abelii (Sumatran orangutan). RNAcentral's name for it is "processed transcript". Lineage: Eukaryota; Metazoa; Chordata; Mammalia; Primates; Hominidae. The record is from RNAcentral.